GGAGUCUGGGCCGUAUCUCAGUCCCAAUGUGCCCGUCCGCCCUCUCAGGCCGGGUACCCGUCGUAGCCUUGGUGGGCCUUUACUACACCAACUAGCUAAUCGGACGCAGGCUCCUCGCAAAGCGAUAAAUCUUUAGUGCAGAAUCCAUGCGAACUCCACACAACAUCCGGUAUUAGCGUCCCUUUCGGAACGUUGUCCCCGACUUUGCGGCAGAUUACCUGCGCUUUACUCACCCGUUCGCCACUAGCACCGAAGUGCCCGUUCGACUUGCAUGUGUUAAGCACGCCGCCAGCGUCGUCUCGAGCCAUGAUCAAACUACU
Molecule: ribosomal RNA, 320 nt
Filed under: uncultured Veillonellaceae bacterium
Lineage: Bacteria; Bacillati; Bacillota; Negativicutes; Veillonellales; Veillonellaceae
Description: partial 16S ribosomal RNA
Source: RNAcentral